This 410-nucleotide ribosomal RNA is filed under the name uncultured bacterium. RNAcentral describes it as "bacterial SSU rRNA". It matches the Rfam family "Bacterial small subunit ribosomal RNA", at positions 975 to 1375 of the family's 1533-position model. The record is from RNAcentral.
CAGGGCUUGACAUCUGGAGAAUUCUGAUGAAAGUCGGAAGUGCCCUUCGGGGAGCUCCAAGACAGGUGGUGCACGGUUGUCGUCAGCUCGUGUCGUGAGAUGUUGGGUUAAGUCCCGCAACGAGCGCAACCCUCGUCGUUAGUUGGUCAUAUUGGUUUACUGAUAUGUAUCUCUCUAGCGAGACUGCCGGUGAUAAACCGGAGGAAGGUGAGGACGACGUCAAAUCAUCAUGCCCCUUAUGUCCUGGGCUACACACGUGUUACAAUGGCCGGUACAACGAGCAGCUAACUCGCGAGAGUACGCAAAUCUCUUAAACCCGGUCUCAGUUCGGAUUGCACUCUGCAACUCGAGUGCAUGAAGUCGGAAUCGCUAGUAAACGCAGAUCAGCACGCUGCGUUGAAUACGUUCCC